RNAcentral lists this non-coding RNA (24 nucleotides) under Mus musculus (house mouse). The record is from RNAcentral. Lineage: Eukaryota; Metazoa; Chordata; Mammalia; Rodentia; Muridae.
UGUUAAAUUUGAGGUGGACGUGGA